RNAcentral lists this ribosomal RNA (324 nucleotides) under uncultured Chloroflexota bacterium. RNAcentral's name for it is "bacterial SSU rRNA". It matches the Rfam family "Bacterial small subunit ribosomal RNA", at positions 28 to 351 of the family's 1533-position model. The record is from RNAcentral. Lineage: Bacteria; Bacillati; Chloroflexota.
GAUGAACGCUGGCGGCGUGCUUAAUACAUGCAAGUCGAACGGAGAGUGUAGCAAUAUACUCUUAGUGGCGAACGGGUGAGUAACGCGUUGGUGACCUACCCCGAAGUGGGGGAUAACAGUUCGAAAGGACUGCUAAUACCCCAUGUGGUCGUGAGGGUCAGAGACCUCAUGACUAAAGGAGCAAUUCGCUUCGGGAGGGGCCUGCGUCCCAUCAGCUAGUUGGUAGGGUAAUAGCCUACCAAGGCAACGACGGGUAGGGGACCUGAGAGGGUGACCCCCCACACUGGCACUGAAACAACGGGCCGAGACACCUACGGGUGGCUG